This 527-nucleotide ribosomal RNA is filed under the name uncultured bacterium. RNAcentral describes it as "bacterial SSU rRNA". It matches the Rfam family "Bacterial small subunit ribosomal RNA", at positions 777 to 1304 of the family's 1533-position model. The record is from RNAcentral.
AAUAGAUACCCCGGUAGUCCACGCCGUAAACGAUGUCGACUUGGAGGUUGUUCCCUUGAGGAGUGGCUUCCGGAGCUAACGCGUUAAGUCGACCGCCUGGGGAGUACGGCCGCAAGGUUAAAACUCAAAUGAAUUGACGGGGGCCCGCACAAGCGGUGGAGCAUGUGGUUUAAUUCGAUGCAACGCGAAGAACCUUACCUACUCUUGACAUCCAGAGAACUUAGCAGAGAUGCUUUGGUGCCUUCGGGAACUCUGAGACAGGUGCUGCAUGGCUGUCGUCAGCUCGUGUUGUGAAAUGUUGGGUUAAGUCCCGCAACGAGCGCAACCCUUAUCCUUUGUUGCCAGCGGUUAGGCCAGGAACUCAAAGGAGACUGCCAGUGAUAAACUGGAGGAAGGUGGGGAUGACGUCAAGUCAUCAUGGCCCUUACGAGUAGGGCUACACACGUGCUACAAUGGCGCAUACAAAGAGAAGCGACCUCGCGAGAGCAAGCGGACCUCAUAAAGUGCGUCGUAGUCCGGAUUGGAGU